Molecule: ribosomal RNA, 305 nt
Filed under: uncultured bacterium
Lineage: Bacteria
Description: bacterial SSU rRNA
Rfam family: Bacterial small subunit ribosomal RNA
Source: RNAcentral
UUGGGCCUACGGGGGGCAGCAGUGAGGAAUAUUGGUCAAUGGUCGGGAGACUGAACCAGCCAAGCCGCGUGAGGGAUGAAGGUACAGAGUAUCGUAAACCUCUUUUGUCAGGGAACAAAGGCGGGGACUAGUCCCCGGAUGAGGGUACCUGAAGAAAAAGCAUCGGCUAACUCCGUGCCAGCAGCCGCGGUAAUACGGAGGAUGCGAGCGUUAUCCGGAUUUAUUGGGUUUAAAGGGUGCGCAGGCGGCCUGUUAAGUCAGCGGUAAAAGCCCGGGGCUCAACCCCGGCGAGCUGUUGAAACUGG